GUUUUUAAAAUACACCUAGUAAAAACAGAACGAUGCAGAGAAGAGUAUCGUGGGCCCUGCACACAAAAGACAUGCAAAUUCAUGAAGUGUUUCAUAUUUUU
RNAcentral lists this small nuclear RNA (101 nucleotides) under Peromyscus maniculatus bairdii (prairie deer mouse). Lineage: Eukaryota; Metazoa; Chordata; Mammalia; Rodentia; Cricetidae. The record is from RNAcentral.